This 508-nucleotide ribosomal RNA is filed under the name uncultured bacterium. RNAcentral's name for it is "partial 16S ribosomal RNA". It matches the Rfam family "Bacterial small subunit ribosomal RNA", at positions 28 to 523 of the family's 1533-position model. The record is from RNAcentral.
GAUGAACGCUAGCUACAGGCUUAACACAUUCAAGUCGAGGGGAAACGAUAGAGAAAGCUUGCUUUUUCUAGGCGUCGACCGGCGCACGGGUGAGUAACGCAUAUCCAACCUGCCCACCACUUGGGGAUAACCUUGCGAAAGUAAGACUAAUACCCAAUGAUAUCUCAAGAAGACAUCUGAAUGAGAUUAAAGAUUUAUCGGUGAUGGAUGGGGAUGCGUCUGAUUAGCUUGUUGGCGGGGUAACGUCCCACCAUGGGGACGAUCAGUAGCGGAUCUGAGAGGAAGGUCCCCCACAUUGCAACUGAGACCAGGUCCAAACUACUACCGGAGGCAGCAGUGAGGAAUAUUGGUCAAUGGGCGAGAGCCUGAACCAGCCAAGUAGCGUGCAGGAUGACGUCCCUAUGGGUUGUAACCUGCUUUUAUAUGGGAAUAAAGUUAGUCUCGUGAGACUUUUUGCAUGUACCUUAUGAAUAAGCACCAGCUAAUUCCGUGCCAGCAGCCGCAGUAA